RNAcentral lists this transfer RNA (85 nucleotides) under Felis catus (domestic cat). It matches the Rfam family "tRNA". From Rfam's summary of the family: Transfer RNA (tRNA) molecules are approximately 80 nucleotides in length. Their secondary structure includes four short double-helical elements and three loops (D, anti-codon, and T loops). RNAcentral also lists the same sequence under 3 other names. Lineage: Eukaryota; Metazoa; Chordata; Mammalia; Carnivora; Felidae. The record is from Rfam by way of RNAcentral.
GCCUGGGUGGCUCAGUCGGUUGAGCGUCCGACUUCAGCUCAGGUCACGAUCUCAUGGUUCGUGAGUUCGAGCCCCACGUCAGGCU